This 359-nucleotide ribosomal RNA is filed under the name uncultured organism. Its description in RNAcentral is "bacterial SSU rRNA". It matches the Rfam family "Bacterial small subunit ribosomal RNA", at positions 45 to 433 of the family's 1533-position model. The record is from RNAcentral.
GGCCUAACACAUGCAAGUCGAACGGACCCUUCGGGGUUAGUGGCGGACGGGUGAGUAACACGUGGGAACGUGCCUUUAGGUUCGGAAUAGCUCCUGGAAACGGGUGGUAAUGCCGAAUGUGCCCUUCGGGGGAAAGAUUUAUCGCCUUUAGAGCGGCCCGCGUCUGAUUAGCUAGUUGGUGAGGUAACGGCUCACCAAGGCGACGAUCAGUAGCUGGUCUGAGAGGAUGACCAGCCACACUGGGACUGAGACACGGCCCAGACUCCUACGGGAGGCAGCAGUGGGGAAUCUUGCGCAAUGGGCGAAAGCCUGACGCAGCCAUGCCGCGUGAAUUUGAAGGUCUUAGGAUUGUAAAAUUC